CUUGCAACCCGACUUGAACGGAGCUCAUUUUUGUAGCUGGAAAAGCGAUGGCAAAAUAGCGGGAGUGGAAGGCGGAAUAGUUG
RNAcentral lists this unclassified non-coding RNA (83 nucleotides) under Epilithonimonas zeae. Its description in RNAcentral is "Chryseobacterium zeae Flavo-1 RNA". Lineage: Bacteria; Pseudomonadati; Bacteroidota; Flavobacteriia; Flavobacteriales; Weeksellaceae. The record is from RNAcentral.